Molecule: long non-coding RNA, 753 nt
Organism: Haliotis rufescens (red abalone)
Lineage: Eukaryota; Metazoa; Mollusca; Gastropoda; Lepetellida; Haliotidae
Exons: 3
Source: RefSeq, a predicted model, not a curated record
UAUCCCACCUGUUGGUGUAAACUGUGGGCAAACAUAGACUCACUGGAACUGUUGAGGGCACCGUGGAUGCUGUACACCCUCCGGCGGGGGAUGCUGCAGUGGGUAGGAACCAAAUGGUGAAGCAUCUCUCGUGUGGCCUUUAGUCCGGGGGCAGAAAACCAAUUCCAUGACACCCUGAUUCCUCCGUCAGCGAUAUGGAAUUAAAGACGCGGUUUAAAUCAGUGAAGCGGCUGAAUCUGUUGUCAUCGACGCCGGUGACAGAAGAGGCUGCUUACUGGUAAGGGGAGUCUAUUGAACAGUAUCGACCCACAGGAUAGUUGAUCUGCCAGCCGUUACAGAGCUCGUGUUUUUCACCAGGGUUGUUGUCGCCGUGCCUGGACUCCACGCUAACCCUACCCACUGAUAGAGACACCGUCCUUGCCUGCAGCAGUGUGGUACUGAGACUACACAUCGUCAAGUGAUGCUGCACCGUAUGUGUUUCGGUGUGGGCGAUUCUGCCCUAACCUCACCGCGCCAGUGUUUCACAAAUCGACAGUUUAAAGUGAGGAAUAGUACCAGAUGCCGUCCCAGCUAAACCAAUUAAAAAUAAAUCAAAUAGAGUGAGUGAGUGAGUAUGGUUCUACGCCUCUUUCAACAAUAUUCCUCUCAUGUCAAGAUGGGUGACGUCACACGCCGCACGACGUGGGGUAUCAAACCACGUCUUCGAUGAGACGAGCGACCCCUCCAACCAUCGAACGAAGUGAGUAAGUGAGU